UCCCUGUGGACCUCCCAGCACCUCUCAUGUCAAAAGUCACAGCCCUGUAACCUUUCUCUGCCAACCCAAUUGCUAUUCCUUUCAAAAGAGCUUGACAACCACCCAAGACUGAAUAUGGAUGGACAAGAACAAUCACCAAUUUGUCUUUGACCUCAUCGUCGUUGGACUUGAAGAGCCUUGUCCGGAGCUUCACUCCAUCACUGGUCUCAAGUGUGGUGGACUCAACUGCAUAGCUUGACAUGCUUACAAGAGAUGAAAAUAAAAGCUCAGAAAUGGCAAAUUGAUGAUUGAGAGAGUUGGACAAUACCGAAGAGAAGUUUUAGAGACUUGGGUCAUAAAUUUCUAAGUUAAAUUAAGCAUAUUUUUUG
Molecule: unclassified non-coding RNA, 368 nt
Filed under: Hevea brasiliensis (rubber tree)
Lineage: Eukaryota; Viridiplantae; Streptophyta; Magnoliopsida; Malpighiales; Euphorbiaceae
Source: RNAcentral